Molecule: ribosomal RNA, 402 nt
Filed under: uncultured prokaryote
Description: bacterial SSU rRNA
Rfam family: Bacterial small subunit ribosomal RNA
Source: RNAcentral
UAGGGAAUAUUGGUAAUCUGCGAAAGCGGGAACCAGCAACGCCGCGUGUGCGAUGACGGCCUUCGGGUUGUAAAGCACUUUUUGAGGGGAUGAGGAAGGACAGUACCCUCAGAAUAAGCCUCGGCUAACUACGUGCCAGCAGCCGCGGUAACACGUAGGAGGCAAGCGUUAUUCGGAUUUACUGGGCGUAAAGCGCGUGCAGGCGGUUCGGUAAGUUGGAUGUGAAAGCUCCCGGCCUAACUGGGAGAGGUCGUUCAAUACUACCAGACUAGAGGAUGGGAGAGGGAGGUGUAAUUCCGGGUGUAGUGGUGAAAUGCGGAGAUAUCCGGAGGAACACCAGUGGCGAAAGCGGCCUCCUGGCCCAUUUCUGACGCUCAGACGCGAAAGCUAGGGUAGCAAACG